AUUUUCAUAGCUCUGGAAAAUUUAUACAGGCAGUGUCAAGCCUCUCAGAUAAAGCUAAAAAAGCAUAUUUUGCAUUGAAGUCAAAACUACCAUAUAGUGAAAAUUUGUCUGUUAAGACUUGGCUCCAGCUUUUUAAUUCAAUGAUAACUCCUAUUUUAACUUAUGGAUCAGAAGUAUGGAUAUCAGAAUUCAAACCAAAUUUUGAAGCAUUAGACAAAAGUAAAUUAGAAAAAACACAAAACUCCAUAUUUAAAAACAUACUUGGGGUUCAUGGAAAGUCUUCCAAUCUAGCAGUGCGGUGUGAAUUGGGCACUUUACCCAUUAGCAUUAAAUGUUAUCAACUUAUGUAUAAAUAUUAUGAGCGUCUCAGUGAUAUUGGUGAACGGUCUGGUGGUCCGCAUGAAAUUCUCAAGGCUGCUUUUGAAGUGGACAAAACUCUCACAAAUAGAGAAAAUUCAUGGUCUUAUAAACUAUCUGAAUUAAUGAAAUAUAUUGGAAUACCCUUUAACAAGCAUUGUAAUAGUAAUUUCAAACAGAAACUAGAAGAUUUCUACAAAAAUAAAAUUAUAUUUGAACUUUCUAAGAUAAAAGAUG
This 594-nucleotide long non-coding RNA is filed under the name Mytilus galloprovincialis (Mediterranean mussel). The record is from RNAcentral. Lineage: Eukaryota; Metazoa; Mollusca; Bivalvia; Mytilida; Mytilidae.